UUUGUUUUUCUCAGGUACAUUCCAGGUUUUAGCUAUCUUCAGUGAAUAAUCUGGUGGAAUUCAGAAAUGAUUUAUAUUUGUAAAACCUUUACGCCUGGGCAACGGUCGACAAACUUUCCAAAUUUCCUGUCUGAUGCCAUGUUGCCCUGUAAUUUCCCAAAGAACCGAACAAAUAAAUUACGCAGAGAGGAACAAGAUUCUGAUGUAAAAAAUAACAUUAAAGGAAAAAAAUAGGAACAAAAUAAAUAUUUUAAAGAAGCGUCAUACAAAUUAUCCAUCAUUGUGAUUCAUAAAGACAACAUUUUGUUUCACAUAAUCAAAAUAUACAAGAGAUAAAUCCAUUAUUAUUGAAUAUUUAUUUAGUUAUACUAUACUAGUCAAUAGAAAUAAAACAAAGGAAACUUAAAAAAAAAUGAAUAGCAACAAAGUCAAAAACAAACAUGAACAUAUCAAGGAUCGAGAACCCAUGCAAAUUGAAUUGGAAAUUACCAAAGUAAGCAUAUUAUCUGAAUUUAAACAAAAUGAUAACAGUUUAUGUGAAAGUUGGAAGUAAUGAAAGGAUAACAAAUUAAAUAUUUUUAUAGCAAGCAGAAAUUUUUAAAUUGAAUGUAAAACCCAUAUUUUAACCAAGCUUAACAGCAAUCCACAUUUAGUUUAUUGUCUUUAGCCUAGGAUUUUAAGCUAUUGCAUUCCAUUGACAAUACUGAGGAAAACAAUGAUAAUAAUUUAGUCAUGAUUGUCGUCAUGUAUUUAUGCAUUUCACUUACAGCAUAUAUGUAUUUGGAAAUGAAAAUCAACAAUUUAAUACAAAAUAGCAGGCCAAAAAUAUUCAUACCUUUAUGUUAGGAUCAAAUAAAUAUUUUUAAUCAUGACUAGACUGAAAUUAUUGCAAGGAUCAUCUUUGAUUUUCAUGUUUUAACAUUUCAUGAAUCACGUUUGUAUCAAUCACCAUUAAGCCUAAAUUAUUCCAGUCUUAAUAAUUAUUUAUAAACUUUUUUUUAAAUGUGGACAAAAUUUAAGACAUGCGGUUAUUGCAACAAACAUUUUCUGGGCAGAUUUCAUUUUAAUCCUCAUGUAAAAAAAAAAAAAAAAUUAA
Molecule: long non-coding RNA, 1096 nt
Organism: Cimex lectularius (bed bug)
Lineage: Eukaryota; Metazoa; Arthropoda; Insecta; Hemiptera; Cimicidae
Exons: 3
Source: RefSeq, a predicted model, not a curated record